Molecule: long non-coding RNA, 468 nt
Organism: Daphnia pulex (common water flea)
Lineage: Eukaryota; Metazoa; Arthropoda; Branchiopoda; Diplostraca; Daphniidae
Exons: 3
Source: RefSeq, a predicted model, not a curated record
AAUGAUAAGGCGACUAUUUAUUUGCCUCUCAACAGCUGUGGACUGCGCAGUUCAUCUUCGAAAAGAGAUCGCAGCAGUUGCAGCACAGCUCCAAUCAAAACUCAAAAAGAAACAGCAAAGAUGGGUUCGUCUUCAUCUUCGUCGUCCAAACAAACCGUCGAACCGGUUAGCGUAGACGAUCCAGCGUUGCAUUUCGUUCAAGCGAAUGUUGCUGCGGUAGAUUUGAUUUCCUUUGAACUGGUCGACGCCAGCAGUGGUCAACUUGGUCAAAGCGUCGACGACAAACAUUCUCUCGGUUCUUCUUAGAGGCCUUGAUCCUUCUGAAGACGAGAACUGAUGUGAAUUUAUUGGCUGAACGACACCCAAUCCCAUUUGUAGUGAAUUAGUAUCCCAACCGAUUCAUUGUACAAGUUUAGCCGAUAUCCAUACGAUGAAUUGACAAAUACAAUUGAUGUAUUAACCAAGAAA